Molecule: ribosomal RNA, 253 nt
Filed under: uncultured bacterium
Lineage: Bacteria
Description: partial 16S ribosomal RNA
Rfam family: Bacterial small subunit ribosomal RNA
Source: RNAcentral
UACGAAGGGGGCUAGCGUUGCUCGGAUUUACUGGGCGUAAAGCGCACGUAGGCGGAUCGUUAAGUCGGGGGUGAAAUCCUGGAGCUCAACUCCAGAACUGCCUUCGAUACUGGCGAUCUUGAGUCCGGAAGAGGUGAGUGGAACUCCUGGUGUAGAGGUGGAAUUCGUAGAUAUUAGGAAGAACACCAGUGGCGAAGGCGGCUCACUGGUCCGGUACUGACGCUGAGGUGCGAAAGCGUGGGGAGCAAACAGG